Molecule: ribosomal RNA, 253 nt
Filed under: uncultured bacterium
Lineage: Bacteria
Description: partial 16S ribosomal RNA
Rfam family: Bacterial small subunit ribosomal RNA
Source: RNAcentral
UACGAAGGGGGCUAGCGUUGCUCGGAAUCGCUGGGCGUAAAGCGCACGUAGGCGGAUCUUUAAGUCAGGGGUGAAAUCCUGGAGCUCAACUCCAGAACUGCCUUUGAUACUGAGGAUCUUGAGUCCGGGAGAGGUGAGUGGAACUGCGAGUGUAGAGGUGAAAUUCGUAGAUAUUCGCAAGAACACCAGUGGCGAAGGCGGCUCACUGGCCCGAUACUGACGCUGAGGCACGAAAGCGUGGGGAGCAAACAGG